RNAcentral lists this ribosomal RNA (209 nucleotides) under Chlamydomonas starrii. RNAcentral's name for it is "partial 23S ribosomal RNA". Lineage: Eukaryota; Viridiplantae; Chlorophyta; Chlorophyceae; Chlamydomonadales; Chlamydomonadaceae. The record is from RNAcentral.
UUCUGGAAUCAGCUGUCGUGAGCGAAUACUCUGUGUAUCCUAUGUGGGAGGCUUGGAAAUGCGCUUCCGGCUCAGUUGGAGCCAUCAUUGAGAUACCACUCUUGGAUGAGCUAGAAUUCUAAUGGAGAUCCUUGAUCCAGGACCCUUGCCUGUUUCGGGGGGUAAUUUUACUGGGGGCGGAUCCUUCCCAAGUGGUACCGAAGGUCUCC